RNAcentral lists this long non-coding RNA (1091 nucleotides) under Heterocephalus glaber (naked mole-rat). RNAcentral describes it as "lncRNA (ENSHGLG00000049614.1)". Lineage: Eukaryota; Metazoa; Chordata; Mammalia; Rodentia; Bathyergidae. The record is from RNAcentral.
CAGUGAGGAAAACUCCCCUGCACCAACUCCCGCGCCGGCGCGCGCUCUGGACAGGGAGCCUGUGGUGCAACGAGGCCGACAGUUCGUUCCUGCUCCCGGAGGACCCGGGGUUUCGGAUUUGGGCUCAGCAGGCAACAGCGAUGGCCGCCACUGUCACUCCGGCGCUCCAGGCGGGCGGCGGGUUUUAGGCCUCGGCCCAAUGUCACCUGUUAACCUUUGGCGCGCCGCCGCCUCCCUUCGAAGGCACACAAACCGCCCCACGGCCACCCGCGUCUGCCAAGAGUUGGAGAAAAACAAGCGAGGCGCAGACAAUCUCUGACAGAUUCGCGUAGAAAAAAAAAUACAGAAGUUGAAGCUCACAGAGGAUUGGUGAUGUAUCGAAGACAACAGGGCUAAAGAAGAGCCAGCAUUCAUGACAAUAAGGACCAAGCUCCUCCUAACUGCUCUGUUCCAGUGGCUGCCAAAAUACCAUCUUGCUGCCAGGCAUGGUAGCCCCAGAAUUGGGGAGGCUGAGGCAGGAGGAUUGGUACGAGUUCAAGGCUAGCCUCUGCUACAUAGUGAGUUCAAGGCCAGCCUGAACUACAUAGCAAGAGCCUAUCUCAAAAAAAAAAACCAUUUUGCUCCCAGAAACAGGGCAGAAGAAAGAAAUAUUACUAAUCUACAUCAAAAGGAAAUAUAAUAUGGAAGUACAGCCUUGGAGUUUAAGUGGCAUUUUUCUAAUUUACCUUCUGCUUGAGCUUGAUUUGAACGUUAUAUAAUUAAAUCUUUGAGUCUCAGGUUGUUAAUCUGUAAAAUGGGAACAAUAACAAGACCUGUCUCCUUGGGCUGGCAUGAAAAUCAAAUUAAUGGAAGAAGAUGCGUGAAUAUACAGAUAGUCCCCAACUUACAACAGUUCAAUUUAUGUUUUUUCAACUUCAUUAUGGUGCAAACUCAGUAGGCAUUUGGUGGAAACUAUACUUUGAAUUUUGAUCUUUUCCCAUACGAGCAGUAUGCAGUAUGGUGCUCUCUCAAUGCUUGGCAGUGACAGUGAGCUGCAGCAAUCACAGGGGAAACAAUCAAUACUCUACAGGACACUCUGUGAUGGUCAGGAG